Molecule: ribosomal RNA, 274 nt
Filed under: uncultured bacterium
Lineage: Bacteria
Description: partial 16S ribosomal RNA
Rfam family: Bacterial small subunit ribosomal RNA
Source: RNAcentral
AUACGGAGGGGACAAGCGUUAUUCGGAAUCACUGGGCGUAAAGGACGCGUAGGCGGGUUAUUAAGUCGGGUGUGAAAUCCAAUGGCUCAACCAUUGAACUGCAUUCGAAACUGAUAACCUAGAGUAUGGAAGGGGCAGGUGGAAUUAGUGGUGUAGGGGUAAAAUCCGUAGAUAACACUAGGAAUACCGAAAGCGAAGGCGACCUGCUGGGACAUUACUGACGCUGAGGCGUGAAAGCGUGGGGAGCAAACAGGAGUAGAUACCCUAGUAGUCC